GGUAACACUAACUGGAGGACCGAACCGACUAAUGUUGAAAAAUUAGCGGAUGACCUGUGGCUGGGGGUGAAAGGCCAAUCAAACCGGGAGAUAGCUGGUUCUCCCCGAAAGCUAUUUAGGUAGCGCCUCGUGAAUUCAUCUCCGGGGGUAGAGCACUGUUUCGGCUAGGGGGCCAUCCCGGCUUACCAACCCGAUGCAAACUGCGAAUACCGGAGAAUGUUAUCACGGGAGACACACGGCGGGUGCUAACGUCCGUCGUGAAGAGGGAAACAACCCAGACCGCCAGCUAAGGUCCCAAAGUCAUGGUUAAGUGGGAAACGAUGUGGGAAGGCCCAGACAGCCAGGAUGUUGGCUUAGAAGCAGCCAUCAUUUAAAGAAAGCGUAAUAGCUCACUGGUCGAGUCGGCCUGCGCGGAAGAUGUAACGGGGCUAAACCAUGCACCGAAGCUGCGGCAGCGACACUGUGUGUUGUUGGGUAGGGGAGCGUUCUGUAAGCCUGUGAAGGUGUGUCGUGAGGCAUGCUGGAGGUAUCAGAAGUGCGAAUGCUGACAUAAGUAACGAUAAAGCGGGUGAAAAGCCCGCUCGCCGGAAGACCAAGGGUUCCUGUCCAACGUUAAUCGGGGCAGGGUGAGUCGACCCCUAAGGCGAGGCCGAAAGGCGUAGUCGAUGGGAAACGGGUUAAUAUUCCCGUACUUGGUGUUACUGCGAAGGGGGGACGGAGAAGGCUAUGUUGGCCGGGCGACGGUUGUCCCGGUUUAAGCGUGUAGGUGUGUGUUCCAGGUAAAUCCGGUUCACUUUAACACUGAGGCGUGACGACGAGGCACUACGGUGCUGAAGCAACAAAUGCCCUGCUUCCAGGAAAAGCCUCUAAGCAUCAGGUAACAUCAAAUCGUACCCCAAACCGACACAGGUGGUCAGGUAGAGAAUACCAAGGCGCUUGAGAGAACUCGGGUGAAGGAACUAGGCAAAAUGGUGCCGUAACUUCGGGAGAAGGCACGCUGACACGUAGGUGAAGUGAUUUACUCAUGGAGCUGAAGUCAGUCGAAGAUACCAGCUGGCUGCAACUGUUUAUUAAAAACACAGCACUGUGCAAACACGAAAGUGGACGUAUACGGUGUGACGCCUGCCCGGUGCCGGAAGGUUAAUUGAUGGGGUCAGCGCAAGCGAAGCUCCUGAUCGAAGCCCCGGUAAACGGCGGCCGUAACUAUAACGGUCCUAAGGUAGCGAAAUUCCUUGUCGGGUAAGUUCCGACCUGCACGAAUGGCGUAAUGAUGGCCAGGCUGUCUCCACCCGAGACUCAGUGAAAUUGAACUCGCUGUGAAGAUGCAGUGUACCCGCGGCAAGACGGAAAGACCCCGUGAACCUUUACUAUAGCUUGACACUGAACAUUGAGCCUUGAUGUGUAGGAUAGGUGGGAGGCUUUGAAGUGUGGACGCCAGUCUGCAUGGAGCCGACCUUGAAAUACCACCCUUUAAUGUUUGAUGUUCUAACGUGGACCCGUUACCCGGGUUGCGGACAGUGUCUGGUGGGUAGUUUGACUGGGGCGGUCUCCUCCUAAAGAGUAACGGAGGAGCACGAAGGUUGGCUAAUCCUGGUCGGACAUCAGGAGGUUAGUGCAAUGGCAUAAGCCAGCUUGACUGCGAGCGUGACGGCGCGAGCAGGUGCGAAAGCAGGUCAUAGUGAUCCGGUGGUUCUGAAUGGAAGGGCCAUCGCUCAACGGAUAAAAGGUACUCCGGGGAUAACAGGCUGAUACCGCCCAAGAGUUCAUAUCGACGGCGGUGUUUGGCACCUCGAUGUCGGCUCAUCACAUCCUGGGGCUGAAGUAGGUCCCAAGGGUAUGGCUGUUCGCCAUUUAAAGUGGUACGCGAGCUGGGUUUAGAACGUCGUGAGACAGUUCGGUCCCUAUCUGCCGUGGGCGCUGGAGAACUGAGGGGGGCUGCUCCUAGUACGAGAGGACCGGAGUGGACGCAUCACUGGUGUUCGGGUUGUCAUGCCAAUGGCACUGCCCGGUAGCUAAAUGCGGAAGAGAUAAGUGCUGAAAGCAUCUAAGCACGAAACUUGCCCCGAGAUGAGUUCUCCCUGAGACUUAGAGUCUCCUGAAGGAACGUUGAAGACGACGACGUUGAUAGGCCGGGUGUGUA
RNAcentral lists this ribosomal RNA (2140 nucleotides) under Salmonella enterica subsp. enterica serovar Enteritidis. RNAcentral describes it as "partial 23S ribosomal RNA". It matches the Rfam family "Bacterial large subunit ribosomal RNA", at positions 755 to 2871 of the family's 2925-position model. Lineage: Bacteria; Pseudomonadati; Pseudomonadota; Gammaproteobacteria; Enterobacterales; Enterobacteriaceae. The record is from RNAcentral.